This 1509-nucleotide long non-coding RNA is filed under the name Homo sapiens (human). RNAcentral describes it as "non-protein coding lnc-NLGN4X-1:7". Lineage: Eukaryota; Metazoa; Chordata; Mammalia; Primates; Hominidae. The record is from RNAcentral.
GGGCAGUUACAAGGAGACACGGAGACACAGAGACACAAAGACAGACACACAAAAAAGAGACUGUCAUGUGAAAAGACAGACACACAGAGAGAACAUCGUAAGAAGACAGAGGAGGAGAUUGGAGAGAAGCAACUGUAAGCCAAGGAACACCAAAGACUGCAGGAAACCCCAAAAACUAGGAACAGGGCAUGGAACAGAUUCUACCCAUAUUCUCAGGAAGAGUCCCUGCCAACACCUGGAAUUCAAGCUUCUGGAUUCCAGAUCUGUGAGUGCUUCUCAAAAUUUAACAUGCAUAUGAAUCAUCUAGGGAUUUUGUUAAAAUACAAGUCCUGCCUGGAUUGUUCAGGGGUGAGGUGCACGGAAUCUGCAUUUCUAAUGAACUCUGAGGUUGAGCUGAUGUAGCUGCAAGGAUUCGAUCUGCAGAUCUACAGUGUCCAAUAUGGUAGCCACUAGCCACGUGUGGUUAAUUAAAUUUAAUAAAUUUAAGAAAAAACCUGGGCUUAGAUAAUGAUUACGCCAAACCACUGGAUUCAAGAAAAAGCUCGUCAUGCCCAACUAUUGCAUGACAGUAUGUGAGAGCCAACCGACUAAAGAUAUUUUAGGAGAAUAAAAUAUUUGGAGAGCAUUGGAGUAAGGACUGUCAUUCCUGGAAUGGAAGCAUUUAAUUAAAAUGACCAUAAGCCUGAAGUGACUGGGGCAUGGGAAUAUCCUUGAUGAGAAGAUAGUGAAGCAUGUAACACCCUGGGAUAGAUGGUGCUGAUGGAACAUUUUGAGGAGACCCAAGUUGUUGGUGGAGGUGAUGGGAGACUCAGGACAACAGAAAGUAUGGGAUUUUCAAUGCUGCAGAAAUGGGGCUGAUAUGGUUUGGCUCUGUCCCCACCCAAAUAUCACCUUGAACUGUAGCUCCCAUAAUUCCCAUGUGUGGUGGGAGGGACCCAGUGGGAGGUAAUUGAAUCAUGGGGGCUGGUUUCUCCCAUGCUAUUCUCAUGAUAGUGAGUAAGUCUCACGAGAUCUGAUGGUUUUAUAAAGGGGAGUUUCCCUACACAAAUUCUGUCUUGCCUGCUGCCAUGUAAGACGUGACUUUGCUCCUUAUUCACCUUCUGCUGCGAUUGUGAUGCCACCCCCAGCCAUGAGUGAGCCAAACUCACUGUUACUGUGAGUCAAUUAAACCUCUUUCCUUUAUAAAUUACUCAGUCUCAGAUAUGUCUUUAUUAGUAGCAUGAGAACGGACUAAUACAGGGGCUCUGUUCUGACUAGGACAGAAAUUUAACACUUGGCAUCACAGAAUGGCCCCAACCUGAGCUAGCAGUGGGUGAAUGGUCAGCUCACAGUACAAGCUGCUUUUGGUAAACGUCUUGCAGACUGCAACCAGCCUAAAGCUAAAAUCACAGUAAAUAAGCAUGAGCGGAUAUAAAAGAGAGAUGAUAGAUUUGUGAUUUGUUGACAUAACCACCAGGACAUCUGUAUCACAAGUGAAAAUUAUAGCCUGAUUCCCAGAUGCUGACCGCC